GACGAACGCUGGCGGCGUGCCUAACACAUGCAAGUCGAACGGAAAGGCCCUGCUUUUGUGGGGUGCUCGAGUGGCGAACGGGUGAGUAACACGCGAGUAACCCGCCCUUGACUUUGUGAUAACUCCAGGAAACUGGGGCUAAUACCGGAUAGGAGCUCUUGCUCCACGGUGGGGGUUGGAAAGUUUCGGUGGUUGGGGAUGGUCUCGCGGCUUAUCAGCUGGUUGGUGGGGUAGUGGCUUACAAAGGAUUUGACGGGUAGCCGGCCUGAGAGGGUGACCAGCCACAUGAGGACUGAGGUACGGCCCAGUCGCCUACGGGAGGCAGCGGUGGGAAAUAUUGCACAAUGGGCGGAAGCCUGAUGCAACAACGCCGCGUGCGGAAUAACGGCCUACGGGUUAUAAACCGCUUUCGCCUGUAACGAAGCCUGCGUGACGGUAAUGGGUCAAGAAGCACCGGCUAACUACGUG
RNAcentral lists this ribosomal RNA (468 nucleotides) under uncultured bacterium. Its description in RNAcentral is "partial 16S ribosomal RNA". It matches the Rfam family "Bacterial small subunit ribosomal RNA", at positions 28 to 507 of the family's 1533-position model. The record is from RNAcentral.